CAGUCGAACGAAGCACUUUAUUUGAUUUCCUUCGGGACUGAUUAUUUUGUCACUGAGUGGCGGACGGGUGAGUAACGCGUGGGUAACCUGCCUUGUACAGGGGGAUAACAGUUGGAAACGGCUGCUAAUACCGCAUAAGCGCACAGCAUCGCAUGAUGCAGUGUGAAAAACUCCGGUGGUAUAAGAUGGACCCGCGUUGGAUUAGCUAGUUGGUGAGGUAACGGCCCACCAAGGCGACGAUCCAUAGCCGACCUGAGAGGGUGACCGGCCACAUUGGGACUGAGACACGGCCCAAACUCCUACGGGAGGCAGCAGUGGGGAAUAUUGCACAAUGGGCGAAAGCCUGAUGCAGCGACGCCGCGUGAGCGAAGAAGUAUUUCGGUAUGUAAAGCUCUAUCAGCAGGGAAGAUAAUGACGGUACCUGACUAAGAAGCACCGGCUAAAUACGUGCCAGCAGCCGCGGUAAUACGUAUGGUGCAAGCGUUAUCCGGAUUUACUGGGUGUAAAGGGAGCGCAGGCGGUGCGGCAAGUCUGAUGUGAAAGCCCGGGGCUCAACCCCGGUACUGCAUUGGAAACUGUCGUACUAGAGUGUCGGAGGGGUAAGCGGAAUUCCUAGUGUAGCGGUGAAAUGCGUAGAUAUUAGGAGGAACACCAGUGGCGAAGGCGGCUUACUGGACGAUAACUGACGCUGAGGCUCGAAAGCGUGGGGAGCAAACAGGAUUAGAUACCCUGGUAGUCCACGCCGUAAACGAU
This 753-nucleotide ribosomal RNA is filed under the name uncultured bacterium. Its description in RNAcentral is "bacterial SSU rRNA". It matches the Rfam family "Bacterial small subunit ribosomal RNA", at positions 59 to 810 of the family's 1533-position model. The record is from RNAcentral.